RNAcentral lists this ribosomal RNA (914 nucleotides) under uncultured bacterium. RNAcentral's name for it is "bacterial SSU rRNA". It matches the Rfam family "Bacterial small subunit ribosomal RNA", at positions 33 to 932 of the family's 1533-position model. The record is from RNAcentral.
ACGCUGGCGGCGUGCCUAAUACAUGCAAGUAGAACGCUGAAGGAGGAGCUUGCUUCUCCGGAUGAGUUGCGAACGGGUGAGUAACGCGUAGGUAACCUGCCUGGUAGCGGGGGAUAACUAUUGGAAACGAUAGCUAAUACCGCAUAAUAGUAGAUGUUGCAUGACAUUUGCUUAAAAGGUGCAAUUGCAUCACUACCAGAUGGACCUGCGUUGUAUUAGCUAGUUGGUGGGGUAACGGCUCACCAAGGCGACGAUACAUAGCCGACCUGAGAGGGUGAUCGGCCACACUGGGACUGAGACACGGCCCAGACUCCUACGGGAGGCAGCAGUAGGGAAUCUUCGGCAAUGGACGGAAGUCUGACCGAGCAACGCCGCGUGAGUGAAGAAGGUUUUCGGAUCGUAAAGCUCUGUUGUAAGAGAAGAACGAGUGUGAGAGUGGAAAGUUCACACUGUGACGGUAUCUUACCAGAAAGGGACGGCUAACUACGUGCCAGCAGCCGCGGUAAUACGUAGGUCCCGAGCGUUGUCCGGAUUUAUUGGGCGUAAAGCGAGCGCAGGCGGUUAGAUAAGUCUGAAGUUAAAGGCUGUGGCUUAACAUAGUACGCUUUGGAAACUGUUUAACUUGAGUGCAAGAGGGGAGAGUGGAAUUCCAUGUGUAGCGGUGAAAUGCGUAGAUAUAUGGAGGAACACCGGUGGCGAAAGCGGCUCUCUGGCUUGUAACUGACGCUGAGGCUCGAAAGCGUGGGGAGCAAACAGGAUAAGAUACCCUGGUAGUCCACGCCGUAAACGAUGAGUGCUAGGUGUUAGACCCUUUCCGGGGUUUAGUGCCGCAGCUAACGCAUUAAGCACUCCGCCUGGGGAGUACGACCGCAAGGUUGAAACUCAAAGGAAUUGACGGGGGCCCGCACAAGCGG